This 484-nucleotide ribosomal RNA is filed under the name Vishniacozyma victoriae. RNAcentral's name for it is "eukaryotic LSU rRNA". The stretch from base 125 to 278 matches the Rfam family "5.8S ribosomal RNA". Lineage: Eukaryota; Fungi; Basidiomycota; Tremellomycetes; Tremellales; Bulleribasidiaceae. The record is from RNAcentral.
AUNGAGCAAUCAUUGGGUUUAGAUCUGCCCUUAUCGCAAGAUGAGGGCUUCCAUAUACACCGUGAACUGUGGCUUCGGCCAUCACAAACUGUUAGUAAUGAAUGUAAUAUCAUAACAAAAACAAAACUUUUAACAACGGAUCUCUUGGCUCUCGCAUCGAUGAAGAACGCAGCGAAAUGCGAUAAGUAAUGUGAAUUGCAGAAUUCAGUGAAUCAUCGAAUCUUUGAACGCACCUUGCGCCCUUUGGUAUUCCGAAGGGCAUGCCUGUUUGAGUGUCAUGAAACCUCACCCCACUUAGGUUUUUGCCUAAGCGGUGGUGUAUUGGGUGUUUGCCUUGCUAAAGGCUCGCCUUAAAGAUAUAAGCACCUUGGAUGUAAUACGUUUCAUCCUUCUGGGUGGCUGAUAACCCCACAUAUUCAUGAUCUGGCCUCAAAUCAGGUAGGGCUACCCGCUGAACUUAAGCAUAUCAAUAAGCGGAGGAAGA